CGGUAAUUCCAGCUCCAAUAGCGUAUACUAAUGUUGUUGCAGUUAAAAAGCUCGUAGUCGGAUUUCAGUAGGCUCAGUUAAGUCUCUAUUCUGAGUUCUUUAUGGGCCUGCUUCUUUGACAGAAACUUCUAUGUUAUUCAUUUAGCGUGGGUAGCGACUGUCUCUUUUACUUUGAGAAAAUUAGAGUGUUCAAAGCAGGUAUUCGCCUGAAUAUUACUCUUGGAAUAAUGCUAUAAGACUUUGGUUCUAAUGUAUUGGUGAUUGGGACCAGAGUAAUGAUUGAUAGGGACGGUUGGGGUCUUACGUACUGCAAAGCGAGAGGUGAAAUUUUUGGACCUUUGUAUGACGAACAACUGCGAAAGCAUUGGACUAGGACGUUCCCGUUGAUUAAGAACGAAAGUUGGGGGAUCGAAGACGAUCAGAUACCGUCGUAGUCUCAACCAUAAACUAUGCCAGCUAGGGAUCGGAGGAAGUUACAAGUUCGACUCCUUCGGCACCUUAUGAGAAAUCAAAGCAUUUGGGUUCCGGGGGGAGUAUGGUCGCAAGGCUGAAACUUAAAGGAAUUGACGGGAGGGCACCACCAGGAGUGGAGCCUGUGGCUUAAUUUGACUCAACACGGGAAAACUUACCAGGUCCGGACAUAGUAAGGAUUGACAGAUUGAAAGCUCUUUCUUGAUUCUAUGGGUGGUGGUGCAUGGCCGUUCUUAGUUGGUGGAGUGAUUUGUCUGGUUAAUUCCGUUAACGAACGAGACCUCAGCCUGCUAAAUAGUGUAAUUUUCUUUCGAAGGUUUGCACUUCUUAGAGGGACUACUUGUGAAACAACCAAGCGGAAGCUUGAGGCAAUAACAGGUCUGUGAUGCCCUUAGAUGUUCUGGGCCGCACAUGGGCUACACUGGUGCAUUCAACAAGCAUAAUCAUCUUAACCGAAGGGUUUGGAUAAUCUUUGAAAUUGCACCGUGCUUGGGAUAGACUAUUGCAAUUUUUAGUCUUCAACGAGGAAUUCCUAGUAAACGCAAGUCAUCAGCUUGCAUUGAUUACGUCCCUGCUCCUUGUACACACCGCCC
RNAcentral lists this ribosomal RNA (1064 nucleotides) under uncultured Rhizaria. Its description in RNAcentral is "SSU rRNA". It matches the Rfam family "Eukaryotic small subunit ribosomal RNA", at positions 577 to 1674 of the family's 1831-position model. The record is from RNAcentral.